RNAcentral lists this ribosomal RNA (497 nucleotides) under uncultured bacterium. Its description in RNAcentral is "partial 16S ribosomal RNA". It matches the Rfam family "Bacterial small subunit ribosomal RNA", at positions 28 to 507 of the family's 1533-position model. The record is from RNAcentral.
GGCGAACGCUGGCGGCGUGCCUAAUACAUGCAAGUUGAGCGCUGAAGGUUGGUACUUGUACCAACUGGAUGAGCAGCGAACGGGUGAGUAACGCGUGGGGAAUCUGCCUUUGAGCGGGGGACAACAUUUGGAAACGAAUGCUAAUACCGCAUAAAAACUUUAAACACAAGUUUUAAGUUUGAAAGAUGCAAUUGCAUCACUCAAAGAUGAUCCCGCGUUGUAUUAGCUAGUGGGUGAGGGAAAGGCUCACCAAGGCGAUGAUACAUAGCCGACCUGAGAGGGUGGUCGGCCACAUUGGGACUGAGACCCGGCCCCACCCCCUACGGGGAGCAGCCGUAGGGAAUCUUCGGCCAUGGACGGAAGUCUGACCGAGCACCGCCGCGUGGGUGAAGAAGGUUCUCGGAUCGUAAAACUCUGUUGGUAGAGAAGAACGUUGGUGAGGGUGGAAAGCUCAUCAAGUGACGGUAACUACCCAGAAAGGGGCGGCUAACUACGUG